This is a long non-coding RNA of Episyrphus balteatus (marmalade hoverfly), 1037 nucleotides long. RefSeq lists it as uncharacterized. Lineage: Eukaryota; Metazoa; Arthropoda; Insecta; Diptera; Syrphidae. The transcript is spliced from 5 exons. The record is from RefSeq and is a predicted model, not a curated record.
CAUUCAUUAGUUGCAAAACAUUUUAUUCCCAUCCAUUAUUUUGUAGAACUGGAAAAAAAUCAUCAAGAAAUUCAAGAAAUAUCUUCUCAGCUAGAAACUAUUCGGAAGCUAAAUAUAAGUUUUAUGGAAAAAUGUAUUAAAGACAAAGCUAAAUCGAGGGCCACCCAUUCGAUGAUUUAUAAUCUUGACAUCAUUAAAAUGCACAUUGUCAGUAUUUCGGAUAUGAAAAAAGAAACUCGAGAAUUAGAAAUGAUUAACAACCAUCACUUUAAUUGCACUAACAAAAUUAUUCUAAAUGAUGCAAAUGCAAAUGCAUUUGGAACAACGUUCUCAGCAACAAAUGGAGCUUAUUCUUUAUGAAAAUACAAAAGAAAAACUCCACCGAUCCUACAAGAGACUUGAGAAUGUUAAAAUGCUUACAAAAACUGUAUCCGAUGCACUUAAGAAUGCCGAACUCAUAUGGAUAACUACACAAUUGGAUUUGGAAAAAAUUCGUAACCGAUUUAGUAACUUGGAUGAAUUAAAUAUGCAAUGAAAAAUGUACAAAAGCUUGUUUGUAUGAAUAUAAAAAGUUUAGAAGGCUUUUGAAACAUGCUUUGAAUGCAUUGAUAAAUAAGAAACCUUAUACGUCUGUUUUGGAUUUAAUCAAUGAACUCAAUCGAAUUGAGAACAUCUUGAAGCCUUAUGUGUAUGAUAGUCCUGUUAAAUUGGCCAUGUUCGAACAAAUAAACUUACUCAAACCAAUUUUCAAUGCAAAAAUGAAUAAGAAACAUUUUGAAAUGGAUUUUCGGCAUUUGCGUUCUCAAUUCCAGGAGAAUAUUCAUGAAAAAAUGAACGAUGAUGCCUUGUUGCAAAAAAAUUACUAGAUGCCGUUGCUGAGGUUCGAAAAGCAGCUUUUAAAGUACCAGUAAUGACGGGAGUCAAAUCACUUGGGGGUACAAAGACAAAAGGAGGAGAAUCAAGUAUACCUUGAAAUGUUAUUGUAAUAUUUAAUUUUUUUUUGAAUAAAAGUUAGUUAAUAUAAUAAAUUGGAACUU